GAUGAACGCUGGCGGCGUGCCUAAUACAUGCAAGUCGAGCGAACAGACGAGGAGCUUGCUCCUUUGACGUUAGCGGCGGACGGGUGAGUAACACGUGGAUAACCUACCUAUAAGACUGGGAUAACUUCGGGAAACCGGAGCUAAUACCGGAUAACAUGUUGAACCGCACGGUUCAACAGUGAAAGACGGUCUUGCUGUCACUUAUAGAUGGAUCCGCGCCGCAUUAGCUAGUUGGUAAGGUAACGGCUUACCAAGGCAACGAUGCGUAGCCGACCUGAGAGGGUGAUCGGCCAAACUGGAACUGAGACACGGUCCAGACUCCUACGGGAGGCAGCAGUAGGGAAUCUUCCGCAAUGGGCGAAAGCCUGACGGAGCAACGCCGCGUGAGUGAAGAAGGUCUUCGGAUCGUAAAACUCUGUUAUUAGGGAAGAACAAAUGUGUAAGUAACUAUGCACGUCUUGACGGUACCUAAUCAGAAAGCCACGGCUAACUACGUG
This 497-nucleotide ribosomal RNA is filed under the name uncultured bacterium. Its description in RNAcentral is "partial 16S ribosomal RNA". It matches the Rfam family "Bacterial small subunit ribosomal RNA", at positions 28 to 507 of the family's 1533-position model. The record is from RNAcentral.